CAAUAGCGUAUAUUAAAGUUGUUGCGGUUAAAAAGCUCGUAGUUGGAUUUCUGCCGAGGACGUCCGGUCCACCCUCUGGGUGUGUACAUGGCACGGCCUGGGCAUCUUCUUGGGGUACGUAUCUGCACUUGACUGUGUGGUGCGGAAUCCAGGACUUUUACUUUGAGGAAAUUAGAGUGUUCAAAGCAGGCUUUCGCUUGAAUACAUUAGCAUGGAAUAAUAAGAUAGGACUUUGGUGCUAUUUUGUUGGUUGAGCCUAAAGUAAUGAUUAAUAGGGAUAGUUGGGGGCACCUGUAUUGCGUUGUCAGAGGUGAAAUUCUUGGAUUUACGCAAGACAAACAGCUGCGAAAGCGUCUGCCAAGGAUGUUUUCAUUAA
This 376-nucleotide ribosomal RNA is filed under the name uncultured eukaryote. Its description in RNAcentral is "partial 18S ribosomal RNA". It matches the Rfam family "Eukaryotic small subunit ribosomal RNA", at positions 592 to 976 of the family's 1831-position model. The record is from RNAcentral.